GCGACAAGAGUCCGAAAAAUUGUGAUAUCGGCAAGAAUCAGAAAAAUCUUGGUGGUGAAGGAAACUUUGUGAUCUGGCAGCUCAUCUUUCUUGCUUUAUCACUGUCCCUCAACCUUUUUCUCUUUCUGUGGUUAGCCACUGAAAAGAAAUGGUUGCCUUGUGGACGACUAAAGAAAGUUCAAGAGUCACAGCAAUCUCAUCCUGAGAAUGACCUACAUUAUGCUGAAGUGGUGUCUGCUGAAAAUCGAAAGAAAAGGAAUGAAGAAGUGAAAAUAAACACAACGUAUGCUGAAGUGCAGAUGAGAAAAGCUUUAUAAAAUUGAAUUUCAAAGAAUGAAUGAAUCAUCAACACUGUGAAAAUGAGAAAAAGAAAAUAUUUUGUAUUCUAUAUGUAAAUAUGUAUUUUUUGCAUAAGUUACAGAUGAUCAUUGGAUUACCAAAUGCUUACAGAACGACUGAGUAAUAUAUUAUUUUUUUGUAUUUUGUUUUUCUGCCUUAAUCAUUUUUUCCUUCUUUGUAAUGUCAUAACAUGCUCCAUUUUCUUGUAGCGAUAACUCCAUCAUCUUGUAAGACAAUGAAUGUAAUGAGGUUUAUUUAACAAAGAUAUUUCACAUAUACAGAAAAUUUGGCCACUGCAUUUGUAAUUGUGCAGUUCAGUAAAAUAAACAGCGACAGAGCAUGAAUGUGUAUCAAGUUCUAUAAGGAAAUAUCUGGCCAGAAAGUGAAAAAAGAUGGUAGCACACUCUUAUUUUGAGUAAUUGGGACUGACAUUACAAAGCAGAUGAUUUAUAGUAUUUCAUAAAUAUAAAACAUAUGGAGCAAUCGCUUGCAAAUGUAAUACAGUGGUGUGAAAAA
Polypterus senegalus (gray bichir) is the source of this 855-nucleotide long non-coding RNA. RefSeq lists it as uncharacterized. The record is from RefSeq and is a predicted model, not a curated record. The transcript has 5 exons. NCBI's taxonomy places the organism in Eukaryota, Metazoa, Chordata, Cladistia, Polypteriformes, Polypteridae.